CUUUUUUGCUUCUGUAGUUGGGCCAGCGGGAGGGGGUGUUAUGGCUUGUUAUAGGCUCUUUUGUUCCCACUGCCUGGCAGCCUGGUGAGCCAGCCAGGAGUAUCACAGCUCUUUCAUUCCCACAGUUCAACAAGUGGGAGGGCCGGCACCCAAUGGCUUCUUCUCUCCCAUCAUUUGGCAAGCAAGAGGGAGAGUUACAGCUCUUUUACUCCCACUGCCUGUGGCUCAGCGAGUUCCGGGUUCUUGUCCUGUGACCAAGAGGAAUAAGGCUGAUGGAGGUUUUGCCAGCUUGAACAUGUAGUUUCCAAAAUGACUCUGGUUAUCAAUAUCCAUCCAGUAGAAGGAGAAAGAGGAAGAAGAUUGUGUGGUAGAAGACUGAAUGAGCCAGUCCUGGAGUCCCUACUACUCAUACUCCAUUGGCCGGAACUCAGUCACAUGGCCACAUCUGACCAUGAGGCAGUCUGGGAAAUGGAUUCCAGCUGUGUUCCAAUGAGGAAGCAGGUUCGAUGAAGAUCUAACCAAUCUCUCUCUCACAGAGGCGAUUUGCCACGAGAAGGACAUGGCCUGGUGGCUACUGCACCUUCAGCUUCCGCACACAUAAAUACAUAUGGAACACACCGGACCUAGUCUCCAGCCUGGAGCCAUGCCUACAGCAUGGCUGAAGCAUGAAGCAGGGCUAACUGGCCACAUUCAACCUCCAUCAGCUGAAGCACAAUACACCUGCAAACCUAUGAGUCUGAGAAUAAAGGCUUGUUAUUGAAAGCCACUAAGAUUUGGGGUGGUUUGUUAUCCAACAUUCUGAUGGCAACAGCAGUAAUAGAUCACCAGGUCUUUGUGAUUUUGCUUUUAAAUAAAUUCACUAAUUCUAAA
This 870-nucleotide long non-coding RNA is filed under the name Homo sapiens (human). Its description in RNAcentral is "HSALNT0022407". Lineage: Eukaryota; Metazoa; Chordata; Mammalia; Primates; Hominidae. The record is from RNAcentral.